RNAcentral lists this long non-coding RNA (3141 nucleotides) under Sus scrofa (pig). RNAcentral describes it as "lncRNA (ENSSSCG00000063023.1)". Lineage: Eukaryota; Metazoa; Chordata; Mammalia; Artiodactyla; Suidae. The record is from RNAcentral.
CAGGACGGUGGUAGGUGCCACCCUGCCUGCGCUCCAGGGAGGGGCUGGAGCCCCCAGACCCGGCUCCUCUGGACCAGGGCUGCUGAAACCACGGCCCCUCUAUCCCCAAAACUGCCGGUGUCACCUUCUGGUCACCAAAGCCCAACCUCGGGCAUGCAAACGUCCCCGCUGGAGUGCCAGUGGGAGGAGACAGGCCAAUACAGGGUGAAAAAGGACAGCACUAAGGAGAAAACGGAGCAGAAAAGGGAGAAGGGGGUAACCUGGGACUUUGCCGGCUCGCCCUGCACUGGCUCCAGGGCCACCCUCCUCCCCUCAGCAGCUGCUCCUCAGGCCCCUUGGCUGUUGACGCCUCCGACCCCAGUCCCGAGCGGUCUGGGGGUGAGCUCAUCGCUGCACCUCUGGGUCUUCUCCCUCUGAAGGGCCCAGCAGCCUCUUGACUGUAAAUGCCUACUGCUCAUGAGGGACGCAGAAGGGCUGGGCUUCGCCCCUGAACCCAGACUCACGCGCCCAGGUGCCCACUCCACAGAGGAGGACCCCCAGCCUCACUCCUCGGCAGGAGACCUCAGGCUUCCCUAAAACCUGUCACGGGCAGUGGGACUGCUGCCACAAGGCACACAGACUCGUAGCUACUAAGUAACAGAAACUUGGCUCUCGCAUGUCUGGGGGCUGGAGGUCUAAGGUCAGGGUGCCAGCAUUGGAUGGGUUCUGGCGAAACUCUUUUCUUGGCUGCAGACCUCUCACGGUUCCUCACUGAUAGAAGGGGCUGGGGAGCUCUACGGGGUUUCUCUUACAGGCGCGAUAAUCCCAUCGUGAAGGACCCACACCCAUGAGCUAAUCACCUCCAAGGCCCACCUCCAAAUGCCAUCACAGUAGCACUUCAGUAUGCGUUUAGGGGAACACGGAUGUUCAGUCCACCGCUCCCUCUGCCCAGUCUCUCCCUGGACAGGUGGCAGCAACUCCACCCAUCAGGCCAAAAGUCAUGGCUGACGCCCUGCCUCCGCUGCUCAUAUGGACUCCAUCAGGUCCCACCUUGCAGAGUGGACAGAAUCUCGCCACCUCCUCCGCAACCUCUGACACCACCCUCCCCUUCCCCUGGACUGGCGCAGCCCCCUCCUCAGCAUUCUUGGUGCUGCACCAGAGUGAUCCCCUCUCAACGGAACAGGCUGUGCCCCUCCCCCAAUGGCUCCCGCCUCACUCCAGAUCCAGAGGCCCUGCGAGCCUGCUUCAGGCCAUGCUUCUGGACUCUGAGAAGGACAUUCGUGAGUCGAACAUUUCAUAGGGAGGCUCUCUGGGGCACGCCCUGAGGAAGGGACGAAAGGGGACCGAAUGGGGCAGCAGCAGAAGCUGAGCUGCGGGGAGGCCCAGGGAGGCUCUGGAGCUUGGAGGGCCCUGCAAAGACGCGCAGAGCAGGGCGAGGUACCACGUCUCUACACCCCUGUGUUGGUCAGACAUUGCAAGUGGGAUGCGCCUCAAAGGAAGUGUGACUUUGAGUGACACUGUUUCCGCAGCAGAGCCGGUCUCCAGGACAACCGUCCACUCUGCCAGCAGUUGGGAGAUGAAGUCCUUCCUUCUUCGAGGUGGGUCUGAACGUGCCUCAGGGCCUCAGCCACAUUCUGCCCCCUGAGCUGCUCACGUGGACAGCCCCUCCAGGACCCCAGGAGGCUCUCAGCCUGGGCGAGUGGGACGAAAUCUGGCUUCCGCUGCUGCAGCUGGUCUGAGGCCCAUCUCUCCUCCAGAAUCCAGCGUGCAGUCUUCUCACCCUCAGCCACGAGCUGGGCAAGGCCCGGUGGGUUACUGUGUGAGGCGGCCCCUUCUCUGAGAGACCUAGGCCUUGGUCACUGUGUGCUUUGGGGGCAAGGGAGCUGCCGUGGCCAUUUCCCGUCGAAACUGAGCAGAGGGAAGCUUGCUCCUACCCCACGUGGAGCAGCAGCCCUCCCUCCUCCUGGUCCAGAUCAAGGUGCCCUGCCUGUGACCCUGGCAUGAAAAUCUAAGAGGCAUUUGGAGCCCUUGGGUCAAGGGCACCUUGUUGCAUCUCCAGAUGGCAGCUCUCUCAGUUUGGGAAACAGAACUUCUGAACCCACAGAGCCCAGGGUAGCAGUGAUGGAGGGCAUGACUGCACUAGUAGUCUGGGAAGGGGCAAGAGGCCAUGCUACCCAGUCCUGCCCUGGGGCCCUGGACCCGUGUGUUCUACCUGCAGCCACACCGAACCUCAUAAAGUUCUUUAAUCUGAUGGCUAACUGGAGCCAGGUGGGGUUGCCCGCGCUCUGCUGGGUCCAGUGGGAUGGUAUGGUGUGGGACAGGACUGGCAGACCUGAGCCAGGGUUCCCAGGGUGGGGUGUAUGUUGUGGACUCCUGUGCAGGGUCGGCACCCAGAGUUCCUGAGAGGGGCAGCUGAGGUCUCGGAGUAGUACUGGCAGCUACACCCAGAAUACCUGCCCCCUCUGGGGGAAAGCGCCCACAAAAGUAACUUGCUUGAAGCUCUGCCCAAACCCUCCUCUCCCAGGUGUUCAGGCCCCCUUGAGUGGGUGACGUGCAGGCCCCACCUGUGUCCAGCCCCCUCCCUCACCCUCUGCGGACCCCUGGAGAACCAGGCUGGGAAUUCCUCCUUCCCCACCAUCUGGUCCCAAGGGGUUCCCUCUGCGGUCCCAGGUGUGAGCAGAGGCAUAAGCCUCGAGAAGCAGUGGUGGAUGACACCGGUCAGGGCAGCCUGCCCGUUUGACCUGGAGUGCUCCACAGCCAUCCUCAAGUGCACAGCGGCUGGACCAGACUGUCAACUGAGAGCGGCGUAGUGUGAGAGCUGGGAGAGGAGUUUUAUGAAAGGACUUGCUGAGGACUGUAGCCUGGGAAACAGCCUCUGGGUAGCUGAGAAACUAACACCACAUUCAAAGUGCCCCUCUGGGGGAGUUCCCGUCGUGGCGCAGUGGUUAACGAAUCUGACUAGGAACCAUGAGGUUGCGGGUUCGGUCCCUGCCCUUGCUCAGUAGGUUAACGAUCUGGCGUUGCCGUGAGCUGUGGUGUAGGUUGCAGACGCGGCUCGGAUCCUGUGUUGCUGUGGCUCUGGUGUAGGCCGGCGGCUGCAGCUCCAAUUGGACCCCUAGCCUGGGAACCUCCAUAUGCCGUGGGAGCGGCCCAAGAAAUAGC